AGCCCAUAAGACGAGAAGACCCUAUGGAGCUUUAAAUUAAUGGCGGACCAUGUAAAGGACCCUUGAAUAAAAGGCUGAACUUAGUGGCUUCCUGUCCUGAUGUCUUGGGUUGGCGCGACCAUGGAAAAACAAGCAUCCCCCGUGCGGGAUGGGAGGACCACCCCUUUCUUUUUCUUCCCCCUCCUCCUGAUCCUAAAACUUGACGCUCUGAUUAAGUUACCUUCUGACCAUCAGCGAUCCCGCAGUGCMGAUCMMCGRACCAMGUUACCCUAGGGAUAACMGCGCAWKCCCCUUUWAGAGCCCAUAUCGACRAGGSGGUUUACGACCYCGAUGUUGGAUCAKGACAUCCCAAUGUGGUCGCCGCUCUUACCGGAUCGUUUGCUAACGACUGAUGUCCUACGUGAUCUGAGUUCAGACCGGAGGUCAUA
RNAcentral lists this ribosomal RNA (428 nucleotides) under Seriolina nigrofasciata. Its description in RNAcentral is "partial large subunit ribosomal RNA". It matches the Rfam family "Bacterial large subunit ribosomal RNA", at positions 2076 to 2635 of the family's 2925-position model. Lineage: Eukaryota; Metazoa; Chordata; Actinopteri; Carangiformes; Carangidae. The record is from RNAcentral.